This 26-nucleotide non-coding RNA is filed under the name Homo sapiens (human). The record is from RNAcentral. Lineage: Eukaryota; Metazoa; Chordata; Mammalia; Primates; Hominidae.
UUGGAGCCAGGAGCCUGCCAUGAGGU